CCUACGGGAGGCAGCAGUGAGGAAUAUUGGUCAAUGGGCGAGAGCCUGAACCAGCCAAGUCGCGUGAGGGAAGCCGGUCCUACGGAUUGUAAACCUCUUUUGUCAGGGAGCAAGGAGCGCCACGAGUGGUGCGGCGAGAGUACCUGACGAAAAAGCAUCGGCUAACUCCGUGCCAGCAGCCGCGGUAAUACGGAGGCUGUGAGCGUUAUUCGGAUUUAUUGGGUUUAAAGGGGGCGCACGUGGAAGCGGCAAGUCAGCGGUAAACUUGAGGGGCUAAACCUCGCCGAGACGUUGAAACUGCGCUUCUAGAUUGGGCGAGAAGUAUGCGGAAUUCGUGGUGUAGCGGUGAAAUGCAUAGAUAUCACGCAGAACUCCGAUUGCGAAGGCAGCAGACCGGCGCCCAACUGACGCUCAUGCACGAAAGCGUGGGUAUCGAACAGGAUUAGAUACCCGUGUAGUC
RNAcentral lists this ribosomal RNA (460 nucleotides) under uncultured bacterium. RNAcentral's name for it is "partial 16S ribosomal RNA". It matches the Rfam family "Bacterial small subunit ribosomal RNA", at positions 338 to 795 of the family's 1533-position model. The record is from RNAcentral.